AGAGUUUGAUCCUGGCUCAGAGCGAACGCUGGCGGCGUGCUUAACACAUGCAAGUCGAGUGCGCGUCUGUAGCAAUACAGAUGGCGCACGGCGCACGGGUGCGUAACACGUGGGUAAUCUGCCCUUCGAUGGGGAAUAACUCCGGGAAACCGAAGCUAAUUCCGCAUAACAUUCCUUGAACUUCGGUUUGGGGAUUCAAAGCCGUAAGGCGUCGGAGGAGGAACCCGCGCACGAUUAGCUAGUUGGUAGGGUAACGGCCUACCAAGGCUUUGAUCGUUAGCUGGUCUGAGAGGAUGGCCAGCCACACUGGAACUGAGACACGGUCCAGACUCCUACGGGAGGCAGCAGUGGGGAAUCUUGCACAAUGGGCGAAAGCCUGAUGCAGCGACGCCGCGUGGGGGAUGAAGCUUUUCGGAGUGUAAACCCCCUUCGACCCGGACGAAUGCCCCGCAAGGGGACUGACGGUACGGGUAUAAGAAGCCCCGGCUAACUACGUGCCAGCAGCCGCGGUAAGACGUGGGGGGCCAGCGUUGCUCGGAAUUACUGGGUGUAAAGGGUCAGUAGGCGGUGUGGCAAGUCGGGAGUGAAAUCUCUGGGCUCAACUCAGAGACUGCUUCCGAAACUGCCGUGCUAGAGUGUGGGAGAGGCGCGUGGAAUUGCAGGUGUAGCGGUGAAAUGCGUAGAUAUCUGCAGGAACACCCGUGGCGAAAGCGGCGCGCUGGACCACAACUGACGCUGAAUGACGAAAGCUAGGGGUGCAAACAGGAUUAGAUACCCUGGUAGUCCUAGCCCUAAACGAUCAGGACUUGGGGUGCCGCACGUUCGUGCGUCGUCCCGGAGCUAACGCGUUAAGUCCUGCACCUGGGGAGUACGGUCGCA
RNAcentral lists this ribosomal RNA (879 nucleotides) under uncultured bacterium. Its description in RNAcentral is "bacterial SSU rRNA". It matches the Rfam family "Bacterial small subunit ribosomal RNA", at positions 8 to 890 of the family's 1533-position model. The record is from RNAcentral.